This 485-nucleotide ribosomal RNA is filed under the name uncultured bacterium. RNAcentral describes it as "partial 16S ribosomal RNA". It matches the Rfam family "Bacterial small subunit ribosomal RNA", at positions 28 to 523 of the family's 1533-position model. The record is from RNAcentral.
GACGAACGCUGGCGGCGUGCUUAACACAUGCAAGUCGAACGAUGAACUUGGAGCUUGCUCUGGGGGAUUAGUGGCGAACGGGUGAGUAACACGUGAGUAACCUGCCCUGGACUCUGGGAUAACUUCGAGAAAUCGGAGCUAAUACCGGAUAGGACCUUGCACCGCAUGGUGUGGGGUGGAAAGUUUUUCGGUUUGGGAUGGACUCGCGGCCUAUCAGCUUGUUGGUGAGGUAAUGGCUCACCAAGGCGUCGACGGGUAGCCGGCCUGAGAGGGUGACCGGCCACACUGGGACUGAGACACGGCCCAGACUCCUACGGGAGGCAGCAGUGGGGAAUAUUGCACAAUGGGCGCAAGCCUGAUGCAGCAACGCCGCGUGCGGGAUGACGGCCUUCGGGUUGUAAACCGCUUUUAGUAGGGAAGAAGCCUUCGGGUGACGGUACCUGCAGAAAAAGGACCGGCUAACUACGUGCCAGCCGCCGCGGUAA